Molecule: ribosomal RNA, 320 nt
Filed under: uncultured bacterium
Lineage: Bacteria
Description: bacterial SSU rRNA
Rfam family: Bacterial small subunit ribosomal RNA
Source: RNAcentral
GACAUCGUGGAAAUAUCAAAUCUUCGGAGCCUUGGGAUGAGCCUGCGUCUGAUUAGGUAGUUGGCGGAGUAAUAGCCCACCAAGCCUACGAUCAGUAGCUGGUCUGAGAGGAUGAUCAGCCACACUGGAACUGAGACACGGUCCAGACUCCCUACGGGAGGCAGCAGUAAGGAAUAUUGCUCAAUGGGGGGAAACCCUGAAGCAGCAACGCCGCGUGAAGGAUGAAAUACUUUCGUAUGUAAACUUCUGUAAGAUGGGAAAAAUAUUUCUCCUCGGGAGAAUUGAUUGUACCAUCAGAGUAAGCCCCGGCUAACUACGUG